GACGAAAACUUACUCAGACCAAUCGGAAAUUACUAUGAAACGUUGUAAACAACUUCUACACGUUGUUUGAGGCUUUCUUAGUGGCAUCUACAGCAAAAAUGUCCAUCUGCAGAGCGUGACUUUCUUCGUAAACAGGUGAUGGAUCUUAUGAACAGGCCAUGCGUCUGCGAGCUCAUCUCAGGUGUCUGUAAGGCGGGGAUUUACAUUUUCUCAGGACAGGCAGCCAUGGAGAGAGGCCUGCUGGCAGAUCAAAGACUGCGGCUGUAAAACGAUCUGAAAGAGUCCGGCAUUAGCAUCCAUCAGGGUACCUUGAAAGCUCCCUGGUCAGCCGGGAGGGAGGCUGAGGCCCCCCAAAGUGAAAGCCCAGUCUGGAGCGGGGUAAUCGACGCAGGGAGGAGGAAGGCUGUAUAGAGGGACAGAGAAGGGAUGAAUAACUGGCGACUUAGUUAAAAACAUGAAGAAACUAUUUCCAGGAGGGAGGAAAAUUCCCAUAACAAGCUGCAAAUGUUUGUAUUCCUCCUGCGCAUGGCCCCCCUCGUCUCUUCCUCUCUGUGUCUUCCGCUAUCCAUCAGAUUUCUCCUUUACUGCUCUGCGACUGUAAGCGGAGAACAUCUCCAUCUGUGCACCAUCUCCACUGAGAGCACCAGGCCUAGACGUUUACUGCUCCACCCUGCACACUGUACUCAGGGUCACGUCUGGUCAGCAUGGGAACACUGAGGAGAAGAGCGGAGUGUGGGAA
Long non-coding RNA from Periophthalmus magnuspinnatus, 739 nucleotides. RefSeq lists it as uncharacterized. The record is from RefSeq and is a predicted model, not a curated record. The transcript has 3 exons. NCBI's taxonomy places the organism in Eukaryota, Metazoa, Chordata, Actinopteri, Gobiiformes, Gobiidae.